Molecule: long non-coding RNA, 305 nt
Filed under: Homo sapiens (human)
Lineage: Eukaryota; Metazoa; Chordata; Mammalia; Primates; Hominidae
Description: non-protein coding lnc-SMNDC1-2:9
Source: RNAcentral
AAUUGUAAGCCAGGCUGCGAAGCAGGAGGGGAGAUUCCAGGCAGAGGAAACUGCUUGGGGUAAAGAAAACAAAAAACGCAACCCCCCCAGCAUGAUGCAGAUGCUGUGGCUCAAAGGAUUAAUUAAUUUGCUUAAGAUAAUGCAACAUGAGAAAAGCAGAUCAGGACGGAAUUCCAGAACAAGGAUUUUGCUUGAAAUAACAUCACUACUAAUUGUCUCUCUGCACCUCCUGGCUCAUUUCUCUACUCCCACACCUUCCCUGCUGACCCUAGUCAAGGAGCUGUGAACAUACAAAUAGUGCCUGA